RNAcentral lists this transfer RNA (74 nucleotides) under Octopus sinensis (East Asian common octopus). Its description in RNAcentral is "tRNA-Ile". It matches the Rfam family "tRNA". Rfam says of the family: Transfer RNA (tRNA) molecules are approximately 80 nucleotides in length. Their secondary structure includes four short double-helical elements and three loops (D, anti-codon, and T loops). The record is from RNAcentral. Lineage: Eukaryota; Metazoa; Mollusca; Cephalopoda; Octopoda; Octopodidae.
GCCCUGGUGGCACAAUCGGUUAGCGCGCCGUACUUAUAAUGCGGAGGUUGUGAGUUCGAACCUCACCCAGGGCA